Molecule: small RNA, 76 nt
Filed under: Xanthomonas campestris
Lineage: Bacteria; Pseudomonadati; Pseudomonadota; Gammaproteobacteria; Lysobacterales; Lysobacteraceae
Description: sX9 sRNA
Rfam family: Xanthomonas sRNA sX9
Source: RNAcentral
AUGUACCACUCCUGCACACCGGCUCUUCCGCGCCGUCCGCACCCACCUGGCGGCUGCUCGCAAUGUUUUAUUAGCC